GGGCCGGUCUUAGCUCAGCGGUUCCUUCAACAGUCCAUUGUCAAAACCACUCUUUGGAGAGUGGUUUGAGAUCUGCCGGCACUCUCCAGCCCUUUU
This is a vault RNA of 96 nucleotides. Its record names the gene Vault. It matches the Rfam family "Vault RNA". Rfam says of the family: This family of RNAs are found as part of the enigmatic vault ribonucleoprotein complex. The complex consists of a major vault protein (MVP), two minor vault proteins (VPARP and TEP1), and several small untranslated RNA molecules. The record is from Ensembl.